This 339-nucleotide unclassified non-coding RNA is filed under the name soil metagenome. RNAcentral's name for it is "partial contains 5.8S ribosomal RNA, internal transcribed spacer 2, and large subunit ribosomal RNA". The stretch from base 1 to 120 matches the Rfam family "5.8S ribosomal RNA", at positions 35 to 154 of the family's 154-position model. The record is from RNAcentral.
GAUGAAGAACGUAGCGAAAUGCGAUACGUAGUGUGAAUUGCAGAAUUCAGUGAAUCAUCGAAUCUUUGAACGCACAUUGCACCUCUCGGUAUUCCGGGAGGUAUGCCUGUUCGAGCGUCAUUUGUACCCUCAAGCUCUGCUUGGUGUUGGGUGUUUGUUCCGCCUCUGUGUGUGAACUCGCCUCAAAACAAUUGGCAGCCGGCGUACUUGUUUCGGAGCGCAGCACAUUUCGCGAUCCAGAUCAACGUACAGCGGCAUCCAAGAAGCCUUAUUUAACGCUCUUGACCUCGGAUCAGGUAGGGAUACCCGCUGAACUUAAGCAUAUCAAUAAGCGGAGGA